Molecule: long non-coding RNA, 5441 nt
Organism: Balaenoptera musculus (blue whale)
Lineage: Eukaryota; Metazoa; Chordata; Mammalia; Artiodactyla; Balaenopteridae
Exons: 2
Source: RefSeq, a predicted model, not a curated record
CCAGGGAAGCCCUGACUUACUGAUUUUAAAGAGGUUACAGUCUCGUUGGAAACAGAACAACUGAAGAACGUUCUCAAAGCUCAAAAUGAACAGGUCCCACCAUAAGCAUUUGCACUGAAACCCCAGUCCUGGGUGAUCCUCAGAUGGGCAGCAGGGUCAGAUUAGCUGAGCCCUGGGUGUCCCAGCUGGGGUGACUAUAUAUGUAAGAGAAAGUGAAGUACCAGGUGCUAAUUUAACAGGGGAUGAGUUUGGUAAUGUAGUGAGAAUAAAGACCAGUUUUAGAUUUCUGGAAAGUGGGCAAUGGAAUAAUAAUUGUGACUAGGUGGUGAAUUGAUUGAUGAAUGUGGCCAGGGGCUGAAGACAGGAGUCCAACCAGCUAAGCUGGGUCAGUGCCUGCAUAGCUUGGGUGUCUGCUGAGAAAAUGGGGAAGACACAGCAACGUUAGAUCUUUUACAGAAUAGGAAUCUGCUGGGUUUCAUAAAGUAUUGAAUGUGAGAUAAGAAGGAGGAAGGGUAACCAAGGGAAAGGAAUUUUAAGCAUUUGGAAACCGUUGUUGUGUUGGUGUUGAUGACAGGCUGGGGACAGAGUACCUAUAAUAAGACAGAAGAGGGAUUCCGAGCUGCUUGUUUGGUGUGUUGUCUCCAUCCAGUAUCAGUAGAAUGUUCAUUUGGACAAUUAAGGUAUAGAAUUCGGGAGCAGUUAGGAGCAAAGGUUAGAUUUGUCAGUCUUGUGUGCUUUGGACGAGUUCUCACUCGGAAGGAAGACGCAGUUGAAAGUCAAGGGGAGGAUUAAGUCUGUGGUGGAGAGGGGAAAAGGGACGGCAGAGAAAUAGGGCCAUAGCGUGGCCUCAGACCCACAUCACUGCCGCCGCAGAGACCAUCAGAGGGGACGCCCCGUGGCCUCCCCAGGAAUGUUCUAACACAGCAGCGCAGAGAGAAGCCGUGCUGUAGGGAUGAGGGAGAGAAUUGCCAGGGGAAGAAACUUAUUGGAGUAGUUGAGAAAGGAGGACAAGGAAAACGCAGAUGCCAGGGGAAAAAGGAAGACGAAAGCAGGGUGAUGACUACCAUGAGGGCUUUUUCAGUUGGGAGAAGCCUGGGUGCUGAGGCACGAAGGGGGGUGGCAGUGAAGCCAGUGACCAAGUGUGAGCAGAGAAAGUCCCCAUGGGAGCAGCCUCUUGGAGGGAGGCCCAGGCACCACUUCAUUCUGCUGGUGACAGUUGCUGGCCGGAGCACUCUCAAAACAAAGAAAGGAUUUGAAGAAAGUCUGAAUCGUGUGUAAGGGAAAAGCACAUGUCCUGUGGUAGACAUGACAGCAAAGUCAGCUGUGGUCACGCAGAUAAUACUAUUUGAGUGUGUUCUGAAGUUCUAAAUCAAAAAAUUGUUUUUACUUUUCUCAUAUGUAUAUGAUGUCCCACUUGAAACCCCCAGUGCUUUUCUUUUUCCCCCAAUGCUGCCUUCUCCCCACUCCCUCCCGUUAUUGGUUCCCCAGGAGACAGACAGUAGCACCCAGGAAUGGUUAGGCUGUACACGGGGGAUGGCCCUUCCAGGAACGUUCAUAUGGCCAGCCAGUGAACGGCUUGUAUUUGAUAAAAAGUUUUCUUGCCAAAUAAAACUAUGCAAAGGUGAUUUUUGAGCUGUGGAGCAAGCUACUCUGAAUCUCAACAUCCAAGUUAUAAAUAAGGGAGUUGAAGUAUAGGGGUUGCUUUUAUCAUUCAGUAAUGUGUUGUGAAGCUGUAAAGAGGUCUGUUUUAGAAGUGACAAAACCAGUGCAGAUGAGCUAUAUCCCCAUAUGGAGAUGGAGCGUGAAGAGGGGUCAGAGAGAACUGAAUAAAGGAAUAAAGGCAAGACAGGAAGGGCAGGAAAGAGAUGGAAUGCAGCUGUAGCACCACAAGGUUACAGGCUAGGGACCCACCCUUAGAAAGGUGUAGGCCAAGGACAGGGAAUAAAGAGAAAACGGGUUCCUACUUCAGAAGCUGUAGGAUGACAGGAGGUGGUGACUUGAUGAUCAUUUUAACCGCAGGCCGGGCCUGGGACCCUAGGAGCCCAGGGAAGAGCGUCACUCUAGACUUAGAGAAGCCACAGCCUGGGCUUGGAGCUCUGCCGAGCCCUGGGCUCAGGGCCUGGAGAACCUUGCAAAAGGAUGGACUUGAAAAGGAUUGUUUAAGACUUGCAAUAAGUACAGAAAGAACUGAAUGCCGUGCAGUUGUGCCCGUGAAAAUCUUCAGCUGCGUGAAAUGCAUACCUGAGUGCAGAGUAGAGAGUUUGGUUUGAAUGGCCUGAUUGUGAUGCAAGGCAGGGAGAAGGUGAGGAAAAGGGAUGCUCCCAGGAAAGACGUAGGGCAGCGAGGGAAAUGUGGACACAGGGGUAUAGAAAAUCGACUGAGUUCCUUAAGGCGGUGCUCUUGAGUAAAGAAAGUCCCUCCUGCCCCCUUGCCCUUGGUGGCAGCAAAGAAACAGGGGCCCUAUUGGUUUUGGUCGACCACAUGCUGUUGGCCUCACUGAGAAACACAUCCACUGGUCAGCGUCUCACCUUCUCCAGCCAGGGCUUCAGGGCAGAAUGAGGCCCUGCCGCCCUAGACGUCCACUGUGUGUAAAGAGUCAGCUUCUCCCCUGGACACCUGGGGUGCUGCCUAGAAAGGCGACAGUGAUCAUUUUCUGUCUUCUGUGGUUCAGGUGGAGAACCCUCCUUGAGGAAGACUGGCAGUGCCUGGCCUUCUGAUAUAAAGUCGUCAGCCUACUGGGGUUCUGCCUAAAGAGGACUUUAGAAAGCAGCUGGCCUGAUGGGCACUCGGGAUUGGGAAUGUACAAAACAAGGUCUUACCCACCUUUGAAGCAUUUCCCAACUUUGCUGUACCCAUCAGAACCCCAAUUGUCCCCUCUCUUUACCCAAGAUGAAGUCUUUUAUUAGUAAACCAAAUCUAUGCUUCCAAAGGCUCACCCCUGUCAAAACUUUUAGUAUUUGGUUCCAGUCGUGUUGGCAUUAAGUUAGUUUCUAUGAAGAAAAUUUUGUUUUUGCCUUCCCACUUUCUCGUGGAAAUUAUUCCAUGAAAAUGACUUAGUGGGACUGAAAAUUCUCGGCUCAUCAUCCCGUAACAGCUUUGUCAUUUCUAUAGUGUACAUUGAAUAACCGAGUGAGUGAGUGAACUAAGCUUACGAUUAACAGUCUUUCACGUAUAGUGACACUCCGUUGAUCUUUACCCCAAUAUAUAAGGUGACCAGGUAGGAAUUAUUCUUACCAUCUUACAGUUGAGAAAACUUAGGCUCAUGACAAUUAAGAGACUCAACCAGGAACACAAAGUACAUACAUGGCAAAGUUGGGUGUAGAACCCAGGUCUCCCGAUCCCUGAUCCAGAACUUUUAAAGGGAAUCUAGAAGAAUGAUGGCCAGAUGCGUGGUGUGAGACAAAAUAAGACAACCAGUUGUGUCUUGGUGAGCACCUGGCAUAUAACACUGGGUCCUCUGACGUGGGUGUCCAGGAAAAGAAGAUGCCAUGGUAUCUUGACAUCUUCUUGAUAGCUUCCCAUCAAGAAGCUAACAGCUUAAUUGGAGGGAUCAAACUGCUACACCUAGAAACAAUUAGGUUUAAUGGAAGGUGAGUGAAGGGAAAGAAGAAAGUUCUGGAAUGCACCAAAAAAGUUCCUGGGGGAAGAAAUGAAACUGAAUCUCGGGCAGAGAUAGGACUGCAUAACCAUACGCCAACAAGAGCGAGGGUCUAGCAAGCAGGGCGUUCUGGCCAGGGGUCAUUUGGGUGCAGGCAGAAUGUGCAGGUCCUGUCAUAUCUAGAGAUGAGCUAAAGGUGAGGUCUGAAAGCUCCACAGAGGUCAGGCCCGAGGGUUUGGACCAGUAAAGUGAAAAAUUGAGUAGAUGAGGUCUGAAGGGACAUUUGGGUCAACUCGACCCACUGUAAACAGCGUGAUCAUGAGCUGAGAUGGCAAAGCAAACAUUGUCUAACAGAAGGCUCGGGGCUGAUGUAAUGCCUCCUGUGGAGACACCGUGGCAAGGGGGGCAGAGAGCAGUCUGGGGCUUCUGAUGGGGCAGAGCGUGGGUGAGGCCUGGAGGGACGGCCAAUAAAGGGGGUGGAGCUGAACCCCGAGGAUGUUUCAGAUUUGAAUCGGAGAGGGGAAGGCAUUUCAGGUGGAGAAGGCAACACGCACAAAAGUAUGGAGUAAGAAGGGAAGAUUCUGGCCUGAAAGAAGAAGUUAUGAAUUGAACAGAGAGAGACAGGAUGGGAUAAAGAGACGGGAAUGGCUGCUCAGGGGCUGGCAAGCAAUUAGAGUUUGGAUUGCAUGUGAUAAGCAAAUUGGUUCUGGAGGAAGGAAGUUGGUAUGAUGAAAGCCGUUCUGGGAAAACAAGUCUGGCAGCAUCUUAGAUGGGAUUGGAAGGGAGAAAGAUUAGAGGCAAACCAGCCAGGAGACUUGUCAGAAAUCUGGAUAAAGCCACGGGGGUCGUGGCACUGAGAAGGAAGAGGAAAAGGUGACUCUGAGGAACAAAGAAAGCAGAAACUUGCGAUUUAAGGGAAGAUGCCAUGGGCAGAGAUGACUUGAGGGUCCUAAUUUUGGAAAUGAAAAAAUAAUGGUUCUACUGGGAUAAAUGGGGUGGUCUGGAAAGGAACCCCAUUUCGAAGGGGGAAGGUGAUAGAUCAGUUUGAGGCAUCCAAAUAGAGAUACUUACGUCUUUGAGAAUAGGGACCUAGAGGCCGAGAGGUUGGGGCCGGGGAUGCAUCUGUCUGACGGCCAGUGCCUGACAGUGAACAACAGUGAACGAGUCCCACAGGAGGGGAUGGGGGUCCAGAGUGAAGAAGAGAGAGAAGGAAGAGGAGGCAGCAAAGGAAAGAGAAGAGCGAUGGGAGAAAUCAGUGGAGAGCCAGCAAAACACAUUAUAAAUCUAAAUGGAUUUCGAAAGCGAGUUGAAGGUUAUCAGGGUCUGUUAUCAAAGAGAGGGGAGGCUAAGGAUGGGAACUGAGGAGAAGGCCAGCGGGUCUGCGCAGAGGGAGGUCAGGGCUGGUAUGAGAGCAGUUUCCCUAGUUUCCUUAGGGUGGGCCUCCCCUGAAAUUAUCUGCCGGGCUCCAGACUCCCUGCCCCCAGCCUUCUCAGCUCUGACUGGUUCUCUGGGGGCCUGUCAGGAGAAUGCUCUUGCUCUAAAAUCUUAAUCAUAAGCUAUUAAUAGUUAUGUUUCUAAACUACAGAUCUAAUGAUACAUCUUAAAUUGGAUGGGUGAGUUACCUGGGCAGAGGAGGAGGGUCGUGUGGGCUCUCGGUCAGUGGGGAGAAGAGAAGCGUGCUGAAGAAAGGGAGGGCGGCGUACGCAGCACUGCUGACAAGGAGGAAGGAGGGACCUCCCUGGUGGUCCAGUGGUUAAGACCCCGAGCUUCCACCGCAGGGGGCGCAGGUUCCAUCCCUGGUCGGGGAACUAAGAUCCCACACGCGUCGCCACACGGCCAAAAA